RNAcentral lists this long non-coding RNA (569 nucleotides) under Nicotiana benthamiana. Its description in RNAcentral is "long non-coding RNA (NBEN_LNC042341)". The record is from RNAcentral. Lineage: Eukaryota; Viridiplantae; Streptophyta; Magnoliopsida; Solanales; Solanaceae.
CUGUGAAUUCCCCAUACCCUUAUUCCCUUCUACUUGUUUUAGUUAAGUAUCAGGCAUGGAAGUAUCCAAAAUGUUGCUCAUGUCUAUAUCCUAACUCCUUAACAAUGUGGCUAACAGACUGGUUAGGGGUGUGCCAGGACUCCAAAUUGCUGGGUAUGACUACCAUCAUGUCAUGGCCUUCCCCAAAAUCUCCUCUAUGCACUUGCACUCUCUCGUAGAUUCUAAGUUAUGCUCCCUCCGAUGAGCCUUGCCUUGGAACCUUGAGCUCCUUCUGAACUUGGACAUUUAAGGGUUGGUCCUUUCACACUGCACUAUAAUUAAAUUUUGCAAUAUAUUUGCAUGUAAGCGGUGCCCAGAGUCCAUUUGAAACUCUUAGGGAACUUUGACACAUCCCUAAUAAGAGAAGGUUUUGGAUUUUGAGUUAGUUUACUUCAUGCUUCAGACAGAAGUCUGAAUCAGAAUCUCCUUGGUUAGGACUGUUAGCUUUCUAAUGUAUUUUUACUUUUAUUUAUUCAUUCUGGGCUGUAAUAAUUUGUAAUAACUCAUGGGGCUCAUAGUGAAAAGGGGAG